GUGCCCAAGGCAAUAUCGGACUUCCUUAUUUUUCCUUCAAAUGCAAAAUAAAACUACCCACCCACUGGAAAAGGAACAUCUCCAUUAAGAUCUGAUCUGGAUUAUCGAACAGUUCCUGCUCAGGGUGCACAAGGACUCCACAUCCUGCUAAACCCAGAGCUCCCGCACCCCUCCCUAGGGAAAGGAACUGCAGACACGCAACCAGAGAGGGUCUUCACUGCACACAAAAUCAGUUCCCUGCACCUGGCCAUUCUCGGGAUCCCCUGACCGCCAGCCGCGCAGGAGAGCGAGCCCUAGGAACCAAGCAGCAGGCAGACAAAGGGCAGGGAACACAGCCUGAGUCAGCCAGCCGCCAACAACAGCUGGUGGUGGGAGCAGGAGCAUCCUGAACUAGGGCGCAGCUCUUCCAGCACAGCGAGAGGCCAAGGGCAGAAUCACACACAGCGGCGGGUGAGCCUUGCACAGUGGCUGCGGUGCCUGCGGCUGAAAGGCUGGAGGGAGAGCCUCCAACAUCAGCCAGCAGCUCUUCCGAGGCAUCUGGAUUCUCAGACAGUGGUGAGAAGCGCAAGAUGCAGGAGAAAGCUGGGCAGAUUCUUCGCCACUGGACCCCCGGGAAGUCCCAUUCUUCAAUGCCUCCUUUCACUCCUCUUCCUCACUGAGAAGUCACUCAGCAGUGACUGCCGCAGCCUGCCUUCCCUCAGACUUGGUCACCGUUGUGCCCCAGGCCUGUGCUGCGCCUGACCUCCUGCAUCCCGCCUGGGGUCCCUGGAAACCACUGGGAUGGCUUUCAUCGCGACGUCCUCAGACGUUUCCAGACGGUGAGUGAUGAGAGCCCUGCUGGCGCGGGGCUUGGAGCGGAGGCGUUUCAGGGCUGUGUGUG
This 880-nucleotide long non-coding RNA is filed under the name Capra hircus (goat). RNAcentral describes it as "lncRNA (ENSCHIG00010016640.1)". Lineage: Eukaryota; Metazoa; Chordata; Mammalia; Artiodactyla; Bovidae. The record is from RNAcentral.